ACGAACGCUGGCGGCGUGCUUAACACAUGCAAGUCGAACGGAAAGGCCCUGCUUUUGUGGGGUGCUCGAGUGGCGAACGGGUGAGUAACACGUGAGUAACCUGCCCUUGACUUUGGGAUAACUUCAUGAAACUGGGGCUAAUACCGGAUAGGAGCUCCUGCUGCGUGGUGGGGGUUGGAAAGUUUCGGCGGUUGGGGAUGGACUCGCGGCUUAUCAGCUUGUUGGUGGGGUAGUGGCUUACCAAGGCUUUGACGGGUAGCCGGCCUGAGAGGGUGACCGGCCACAUUGGGACUGAGAUACGGCCCAGACUCCUACGGGAGGCAGCAGUGGGGAAUAUUGCACAAUGGGCGGAAGCCUGAUGCAGCAACGCCGCGUGCGGGAUGACGGCCUUCGGGUUGUAAACCGCUUUCGCCUGUGACGAAGCGUGAGUGACGGUAAUGGGUAAAGAAGCACCGGCUAACUACGUG
This 467-nucleotide ribosomal RNA is filed under the name uncultured bacterium. Its description in RNAcentral is "partial 16S ribosomal RNA". It matches the Rfam family "Bacterial small subunit ribosomal RNA", at positions 29 to 507 of the family's 1533-position model. The record is from RNAcentral.